Molecule: long non-coding RNA, 1021 nt
Organism: Clupea harengus (Atlantic herring)
Lineage: Eukaryota; Metazoa; Chordata; Actinopteri; Clupeiformes; Clupeidae
Source: Ensembl
UCUUACUGUUGAAUAUGUAAUGCAUAGAUAAAGCACAACCAUAAUGUAAAAGAGGGAUAUUUAUGUGCUUUGUGCUUCUUUAGGGGGUCUCAGACGUUUCAGAAUUAGAGGAUGGAGGUGAUGCCGUAAAGUAGGCCUCUCCCAUUAGCAGCCUUUAGAAUAAGACAUGAAUCAUCCUCGUCAUUCAGAGGAGAAAGGAAAUGUAAUGCAGUGAGGAUGGAGAGAGAUGAAAAAAAUAAAAAAUAAAAACAGAAAUAGACGUAUGCCUCCUCGGAGCGUUGAUGCCGAUGACGAGCGCUGUAAGCGGACGCACACCAAACCACACCGCCGGCGCAUUCGUCUGAGUCACGGCUAAUGAUUUCUCAUCCACGCCUUGGCAGGUCACCUCGCACCUUGUGGGGUGAGCAGCUGUCUAAGUCAGCCGUCGUCGUUUGGAAAUGAGCACAAACCCAGAAGUGGAAAUAAUGGAAGGGAAUCGGUUCAUUACAUAGGUGGGGCUUAUACAAAACAGGAUUUUUUUUCCUCUUGGAAUUUGAAAUAUUGCCGCCUCCGUGGAGCUGCAGGGAUCCACUGGGGAACCUUUCUGAGCUACAGUUCCUGGAGUUCCUGGAGUUCUAUCAGCGACGUAGCCCACACCUUUAGCCCUGGAGUGCAAAUGGAACACGUGAUCUGAGUGGUGGGGAAAGGUGAGGAGAAAAAGGGAAAAAAACAGAUGGAGAGAAUGGAACGCUGUCUGUUCUGGAGCUCUCGAUUACUAGAGUGACGAGACGGUGAAAGCAGGAAGGGCUGAGGUGAGACCGGAGAGACGGUGAACGCAGGAAGGGCUGAGGUGAGGCAGAAGAGACGAGAUCGUGACUCACUUGUUCGGAGAUGAAAAACACAGAUUUCUCUUCUCCCCACCCCAUCCAUGCGAGCGUGAACUCUGACUUGUUCUCUGGCUUGUUAUUGGUCUACUAGUGUGUUCCUGCCGAGAUGUUAUACUUCCAAGAUGCCCCCCGUCCGUCCGUCCGUCCGUCCGUCC